GUGUCAGCAGCCGCGGUAACACGUAAGUUGCGAGCGUUGUUCGGAAUUAUUGGGCGUAAAGGGCAUGUAGGCGGUUUUGCAAGCUUGAUGUGAAAGGCAGGAGCUUAACUCCUGGACUGCGUUGAGAACUGCAUGACUGGAGUCACUGAGGGGCAAUCAGAAUUCCUGGUGUAGGGGUGAAAUCUGUAGAUAUCAGGAAGAAUACCAAUGGCGAAGGCAGGUUACCAGCAGAUGACUGACGCUGAGGUGCGAAGGUGCGGGGAGCAAACAGGAUUAGAUACCCUGGUAGUCCGCACAGUCAACUAUGUACACUGGAUGUCUGGCCGAUAGGCUGGGUGUCGAAGCAAACGCGAUAAGUGUACCGCCUGGGGAGUAUGCCCGCAAGGGUGAA
RNAcentral lists this ribosomal RNA (391 nucleotides) under uncultured bacterium. Its description in RNAcentral is "bacterial SSU rRNA". It matches the Rfam family "Bacterial small subunit ribosomal RNA", at positions 505 to 898 of the family's 1533-position model. The record is from RNAcentral.